UGAUUAAUUCCGGCCGCUUUCUCUCAA
Molecule: non-coding RNA, 27 nt
Filed under: Bombyx mori (domestic silkworm)
Lineage: Eukaryota; Metazoa; Arthropoda; Insecta; Lepidoptera; Bombycidae
Source: RNAcentral